Molecule: ribosomal RNA, 264 nt
Filed under: uncultured bacterium
Lineage: Bacteria
Description: partial small subunit ribosomal RNA
Rfam family: Bacterial small subunit ribosomal RNA
Source: RNAcentral
AGAGCGAACGCUGGCGGCGUGCUUAACACAUGCAAGUCGAGUGCGCGUCCGUAGCAAUACGGAUGGCGCACGGCGCACGGGUGCGUAACACGUGGGCAACCUGCCCUUUGGAUGGGGGAUACCCCCGCGAAAGCGGGACUAAUACCGCAUAAUAUUCAGAAGACCUCGGUCUUUUGACUCAAAGCCCGCAAGGGCGUCUAAGGAGGGGCCCGCGCCCGAUUAGCUAGUUGGUGAGGUAACGGCUCACCAAGGCUUUGAUCGGUA